Long non-coding RNA from Hydra vulgaris (swiftwater hydra), 518 nucleotides. RefSeq lists it as uncharacterized. Lineage: Eukaryota; Metazoa; Cnidaria; Hydrozoa; Anthoathecata; Hydridae. The record is from RefSeq and is a predicted model, not a curated record.
AUUGUGUGUUGCUUCUCUUAAAUAAGAUAAAAACCCAAGGAUGCAAAAAACUUAAUAUAAAAUAGUGUGAAGAAGAAGUAGUAACUGAAAUGAACAGCAUAAUAGAAUUUGAUAAGUUUGACUCAGCACUUGACAAUGUUUCAUCUAGUAACUCUGUAGUAUCUCUGCAGUUAAACAAAGAGUUCAAAAUAUUGGUGGUAAGAACUGUCAAAAACUUGUGAUAGCUAUGAUGAAGAGUUUUAUGACAAAUUCACUCAUGGCCAAAUCUAAUAUGGCAGCUGGAAAAGGCAAAGAAUCUUUUUAGUCUAACCAAGCUAUACAACUUAAUAAAAGUUUGUGCAUCGACUUCUCACGAAUUAUACACAGAGUCGAUUGUAGAUGCAAUAAUUGCUGAUUCGUGAAAGCGGGCAACUUUUGCUUGUCUCAAAGUGCCUUAAAUCCAACAGAUAUCAUUGUUAUAAUAUUACUUUGUUUGUAAAUUGUUUUAAAAAAUAAAUUUAAAAAUAACUUUUAAAUAA